This 663-nucleotide ribosomal RNA is filed under the name uncultured bacterium. Its description in RNAcentral is "bacterial SSU rRNA". It matches the Rfam family "Bacterial small subunit ribosomal RNA", at positions 99 to 795 of the family's 1533-position model. The record is from RNAcentral.
CGGACGGGUGAGUAACGCGUGAGAAUCUGCCUUCAGGACGGGGAUAACAGUUGGAAACGACUGCUAAGACCGGAUGUGCCGAGAGGUGAAAUAUUUAUAGCCUGAAGAUGAGCUCGCGUCCGAUUAGCUAGUUGGUAAGGUAAAAGCUUACCAAGGCGACGAUCGGUAGCUGGUCUGAGAGGACGAUCAGCCACACUGGGACUGAGACACGGCCCAGACUCCUACGGGAGGCAGCAGUGGGGAAUUUUCCGCAAUGGGCGAAAGCCUGACGUAGCAAGACCGCGUGGGGGAGGAAGGUUCUUGGAUUGUAAACCCCUUUUCUCAGGGAAGAACACAAUGACGGUACCUGAGGAAUCAGCAUCGGCUAACUCCGUGCCAGCAGCCGCGGUAAUACGGAGGAUGCAAGCGUUAUCCGGAAUAAUUGGGCGUAAAGCGUCCGUAGGUGGCUGUUCAAGUCUGCCGUUAAAGACCGGGGCUUAACCCUGGAAAGGCGGUGGAAACUGAACGGCUAGAGUGCAGUAGGGGUAGAGGGAAUUCCCGGUGUAGCGGUGAAAUGCGUAGAGAUCGGGAAGAACACCGGUGGCGAAAGCGCUCUGCUGGACUGCAACUGACACUGAGGGACGAAAGCUAGGGGAGCGAAUGGGAUUAGAUACCCCAGUAGUC